Molecule: ribosomal RNA, 492 nt
Filed under: uncultured bacterium
Lineage: Bacteria
Description: partial 16S ribosomal RNA
Rfam family: Bacterial small subunit ribosomal RNA
Source: RNAcentral
AGUGGACGCUGGCGGUAGGCCUAACACAUGCAAGUCGAACGGCAGCACAGUAAGAGCUUGCUCUUACGGGUGGCGAGUGGCGGACGGGUGAGGAAUACAUCGGAAUCUGCUUUUUCGUGGGGGAUAACGUAGGGAAACUUACGCUAAUACCGCAUACGACCUACGGGUGAAAGCAGGGGAUCUUCGGACCUUGCGCGAUUGAAUGAGCCGAUGUCGGAUUAGCUAGUUGGCGGGGUAAAGGCCCACCAAGGCGACGAUCCGUAGCUGGUCUGAGAGGAUGAUCAGCCACACUGGAACUGAGACACGGUCCAGACUCCUACGGGAGGCAGCAGUGGGGAAUAUUGGACAAUGGGCGCAAGCCUGAUCCAGCCAUACCGCGUGGGUGAAGAAGGCCUUCGGGUUGUAAAGCCCUUUUGUUGGGAAAGAAAAGCAGCAGGUUAAUACCCCGCUGUUCUGACGGUACCCAAAGAAUAAGCACCGGCUAACUUCGUG